Rattus norvegicus (Norway rat) is the source of this 3775-nucleotide non-coding RNA. NCBI's taxonomy places the organism in Eukaryota, Metazoa, Chordata, Mammalia, Rodentia, Muridae. The record is from RefSeq and is a predicted model, not a curated record.
UGGGAGUGGUGGCACAUACCUAAUCUCCACAGUCGGGACCAAGAGGCGGGAUGAUCACUGCAUAGUGAGUUCCAGGCCAGUAUGAGCCAGAGACUGAAACAGGAAACCCAAAAGCUGGGGACCGAACCCAGGGCCUUGCGCAUGCUAGGCAAGCACUCAACCACUGAGCUAAAUCCUCAACCCUGCAGCAACUGUUCUUAAACAACGAACUAUGUUACCAUCUCCAACUUCUGUAUCUUAUUCUACUAGGUUAUCACAUACUCCAGGCUGGCCUUGAGCUGUUAAUGCUCCUGGUUUAACUUCCCAAAUGCUGUGUUUAUAAGUUUGUGACAUCAUACCCAGCUCUCAAGUUAGGAUAAACCCAGUUCAAAUCAGGUAUGUCCAACUUUAAACUUUUCAGCCAUAUGUACAUAGACACGUUCAGGUGCUUUUCUUUUGGUACUGAUUUGUCUUGUGUUAAUGACAGGUUUUACUUUCCAAUACUAAACUAUUACACUGGUUCUUAGGGAGAUUUCUCAGAGGUAAAAUGUAAAGUGAUUUAACCAGUGAGAAAAUUACCAUCAUCCACUACCACCAGGCAUUUUGGGGCACACCCUGGGCAUGCUCAGAACCACCGGGAGCUUGGUACUUCAGUUAUAGCUGGAUCAGCCUAGUCAAAUGUCUUGAAAGCCUAUGCCUCCUCCCAUAACUUCUAUAUAUUGGUGUAUGCUCAAAUUCACACUUUGUUUUUGUUUUGUAUUCGGUUUUCUGAGAAUGUCUCUCUGUGCAGCCUUGGCUGCUUCCUGAGUGCUGGAAUUAAAGGGGUACACUACCACACCUGGCCUAUGUUCAUAUUUUUGCAAGCCCAUUACUGUCCUGUCUUAACAAGCUGUAUACAUUAAUGUCUUUAACUUUUCUGAGACGAUCUUACCACGUAAAGACCAAUAUAGCCCUGAACUCAAGUGGUAACCAUGAACCUAGCCUAGCCUCUCUGCUCGCUGGGGUUAUAGGUAUAAAACUACCACACUCAGUUUAAAUCUUUUACCAGUACCCUCUGGAAUCCUUUCUUCUAAUUAAUUUUUUUUUUUUUUUUUUUGCUCAGAGUUAAAAGUUUAAAAGUGAAUUAAACUUUUGCUAGAGACCAUGUUACCCACAUGGGUCAUUUCUCUGAAAAUUCUCACUUUAAAAAUAUGUGAAAUUAGCUGGGCACGGCGCUGCAUUACUGUAAUCUCAGCUCUCCUGGAGGAGGGCUAAAAGAAUGGAGACUUCCAUUCCCAAUUCUCUUGAGCUAUAAAGCAAGACCCUGCCUCGCAAAACGAAGAACCUAAAUGUGUCAGCUUACAUCUCUACAGAGCACGGGACGCUAAGGCAGGAUCAGCAGGAUCCCGGAUUAGGAGACAGAAGGGAAAGGGGAAGACGCUGAGGUCUAGUCUUUACAAAAACAUUAUCUAUCCACGUUGUAGUGUCAACCUUGUUAGAGACAGAUUAUUUCUCUAGGGUUUUUGUCGUUUCCAAAAGGGGAACUCCGGCACAUAGCUCAGGAGAGAAGAGCCGUCUAGCAUGCUGGAGGUCUGGGUUCGAUCUGGACCACCAGGCAGAAAGGUCCAAUUAGACUGUUCGUUGUUUAUUGAAGUUCUAGAAAUGGGCCUUCAAAUGAAAAGCAUCAUGAAGAGUGGGAAAAGAUACUAUGCUUCUCUGGUUCCUCUUUUCCUCUCCAGAUCUGAAAAUCUGGAUCCUCAAAGUGUAUGAAGCAUCAAAGUCAGAAGCAGCAGCCAAUUCCAUCCCGGCUUUGACAACCCAAGAGGAGAGGCAGCAUGCACAGGAGGUGGGGCUUUUCUGGGCCCUCCCAGGAAGGAAGGUGAGAGAGAUGGGAGGAGAGGAAAUGGCUCUUUUCAUUCACCUUAAUUUUACAAGUUAAGUAACUUUGCCUGAGCCCUGUCUUGUUAAGGAAAAUUGGACAUGCCGCUUGGAGAAACCUGUGCUACCCUGUGGCUUAAUUCCCCCAAACCACGUCUACUAUGUAGUUAACGAAACAGAUCUCAUCGUCAAACCUACCUCUUUGAAGCAAGUGUCGUAGCUGGGUAAUGCUAGAUUAUGUUUAUACAUUUGCUUGCUAAUUUGUUAAUUGAUAGCAUACACUAAAACACUAAAUUAAGGAGGAUUCCCCCCUUUGACUUUAACUGUGGGAAAAUCUUUUCAACAGAAAUUCUGACAGGAAAAGUGACCACAAGAAAAUCAGGUCCCCUCAGACACUGUAUAAUUUGAACAUUUCAGUUUGUCUCCUCUCCCUUCACACUACUCUCUGAUGUCUGGCUUUGUUAGAGAGCAUUUAUCAGACUCCUAAUAGUAAUCUAAGCAUACACCUCAUAUUUCAUCUUCAGUUUUAAGUAUUUGUUAAACUAUUACAUCCAGAACAUUUGAAAAUGAACUUUUCCAGUUUUUUUGUUAACUAUGUACCUGGGGGGCACGGGACAAAAAAACAAAACAAAACCAGCUCAAGAUCUCAUUUGUGCAUUGUGCUUCUCCUCACAGUCAUGUUUAACUCUGUCCUGGCCCGGUGCAUCCCAUUUGUCCUCACUAGCAAUUCAGCACUCGGCCACAGGUCUCUGCGCUCACCCUGGACUUUCAGCUCGCUGCGCACCAGCUAACCCGUCUCUCCACUCUCUUGGCAACCUGUGCUUUUAUGCGAAUGGCAGGUGAAAAUGUGAUUUGCACAUCUUAAAAAUCAGGAGAGCAAAGAGCAAAAAAGAGCAAUGCUUUUAAACUGCUGUCCACACUCAGUAUACUUUUAAAUAUAGAUGUUAACUAAAACCCUUUUCAGUAUUAAGAAGGGUGUUCAAAGUAAUUCACAUUAAAAGGCAUUCUAUUCGGUAGCUGUGUUUAUUGGUGGGUUAUUUUGCCAGUGUUUUAGUUCACACAUAACUGAUAGACCCUGUCAGUGACUGCGUUACCUGAAAGGUAGAAGCUGUUUCCAUUUGUAUGCUGUGAUUACUUUAUAGUCCUCAAAUCUUGCAUCUUUUACAGAAAAUGAUAUAGAAAGCAUAGUAACUGUAAUUUGCCACAACACAUUUUCUCCAAAUCUUAGUGUAAAACACAACACACUUUUGUGCACUCUACUUUUAUAGAACAACCAGAUUUAUAGUUGAUUUCUUUAUUUUAUUAGAUUUAUCAAUAUACAUGGCAGCUUUUUCAAAUUUCAGUUCCAAAGUAAUUUUAAAAAUGAAAAAUCAUUUUUCUUUAGAUGUCAUAUUCCUAAAGAGCUAUUAAAGUCUAUUUAUAAACAAAAUAAUUGAUAAACUAACACACUUUAGAAAUCAGAAUAUUUUUAAAUUAAAAUAUUUUAAUGAAUACAAGAUGUCUUUUUUAAUUAACUAUCAUAGUUAAAUUCAUUAUCACAAAACAAAAUGGCUUAUCCCCACUAAUUUCUCAAGUGAGGCAAAGUCAUUGGGAUUUACACUUAAUAUAAGUUUUAAAUGUGAUUAUUAAAUGAUAACAUUUUAUCAAUUAUAGGAAAUGUUCGUUUAUAGGAGUUUCCUUAGGUCCAUCAAUCUCAGGCCAAGAUUGAGCCCAUGUCAACCUUAAAGGUUAGAUUCAGUGCACCUCACUUGCCUAAUAAGUUUGUCAAUUUAAGAAUAUAGAUUUCAUUUAUAAGGGAGAAUAGUAGCCACCCCACUAUACAACUGACAAAAAGCCCCCCGCCAAACAAACAAACAAACAAACAAACAAAAAAACCCCCAAAAACCCAAAAAGCAAAAAACAAAAAGUUAAAAACAAAUAGAAUAGUUUUAAAUAAUUA